GAUGAAGAACGCAGCGAAAUGCGAUAAGUAAUGUGAAUUGCAGAACUCAGUGAAUCAUCGAAUCUUUGAACGCACAUUGCGCCCUCUGGUAUUCCGGGGGGCAUGCCUGUUCGAGCGUCAUUAUAACCACUCAAGCUCUCGCUUGGUAUUGGAGUUCGCGAUCUCGCGGCUCCUAAAAUCAGUGGCGGUGCCUGUCGGCUCUACGCGUAGUAAUACUCCUCGCGAUUGAGUCCGGUAGGUUUACUUGCCAGCAACCCCCAAUUUUUACAGGUUGACCUCGGAUCAGGUAGGGAUACCCGCUGAACUUAAGCAUAUCAAUAAGCGGAGGA
This 329-nucleotide unclassified non-coding RNA is filed under the name soil metagenome. RNAcentral's name for it is "partial contains 5.8S ribosomal RNA, internal transcribed spacer 2, and large subunit ribosomal RNA". The stretch from base 1 to 120 matches the Rfam family "5.8S ribosomal RNA", at positions 35 to 154 of the family's 154-position model. The record is from RNAcentral.